Nothoprocta perdicaria is the source of this 293-nucleotide long non-coding RNA. RefSeq lists it as uncharacterized. The record is from RefSeq and is a predicted model, not a curated record. The transcript is spliced from 2 exons. Lineage: Eukaryota; Metazoa; Chordata; Aves; Tinamiformes; Tinamidae.
AAAAUAACUAAAUUCACUAACUGACCACUGCAGGAAACAUAACAGCAAAAGACUCUAUGAUCCACCUGCAUAAAAUUGACUGGAAGGCACCGGCCCACUGAUCCCUCCUAACCUGCACUUCAUUAGGAACACGAUGGAUUUAAAAGUGGCCAAGUUGAGCUGUGGACAAGACAACACUGCCACAAACUGACUGUGAACUAGAUUACCUACAUGUAGCAGCUUUCACCAACACUAUUCCUCUCACCACGGAUCUUGAGAUUUAAAAAGUAGAUGCUUCUCCAGAAUUCUUUUUU